RNAcentral lists this ribosomal RNA (400 nucleotides) under uncultured bacterium. RNAcentral describes it as "bacterial SSU rRNA". It matches the Rfam family "Bacterial small subunit ribosomal RNA", at positions 357 to 774 of the family's 1533-position model. The record is from RNAcentral.
GGGAAUAUUGGACAAUGGGCGAAAGCCUGAUCCAGCAAUGCCGCGUGAGUGAUGAAGGCCUUAGGGUCGUAAAGCUCUUUUACCCGGGAUGAUAAUGACAGUACCGGGAGAAUAAGCCCCGGCUAACUCCGUGCCAGCAGCCGCGGUAAUACGGAGGGGGCUAGCGUUGUUCGGAAUUACUGGGCGUAAAGCGCACGUAGGCGGUUAUUCAAGUCAGAGGUGAAAGCCCGGGGCUCAACCCCGGAACGGCCUUUGAAACUAGAUGACUAGAAUCUUGGAGAGGCGAGUGGAAUUCCGAGUGUAGAGGUGAAAUUCGUAGAUAUUCGGAAGAACACCAGUGGCGAAGGCGACUCGCUGGACAAGUAUUGACGCUGAGGUGCGAAAGCGUGGGGAGCAAACA